AAUUACUGAAAUAUACGCCUUAAUGUUUUCGAAUUAAGAUUUAUUAUUGUACGAUAAUCGUUCCUAUGAUAAAGGACUAUUUUAUUUACAUUGCAUUGACAUUCAUUUUGAUACUUUGAUUUGAUAACAUGAAUGUUUGAAAAGUUCACAUUGUAUUGGUGUAAAAUAGCAAAGAAUUAUAGGUAAUCGACAAUCAGAGGGACAAAGUUCCAUUUCAAGGUUGUAUUUCUAGUAUUAUUGUUGGUUUCGCGAAUUCUUUGCAAAUAAAACGCUAGUUACUUGUGGCUGUUGUAUAAAACAGUAAAAUACACCUUGCAAGAUACAAGACGUGGGUAACGCACUUGUGUUAUAGUAGUAAAGUAACAAGAUGCCGCAGAUUACACAAAACAAUUUUCAAUAGCCUAAUGUUGAAGGCUAAGAGCGCAAACGAAUUAGAAGGAUACAAGAUAUCGUCGGACAUCUGAGCAAAGUGUUGAAUACUCACCAUAUAAAAGUUCGUUCCAUCCUAGAGUACAACCCUCAAGGUAAUUAGUAAGUUAUAAAUGAUUUUACUACGUUUGCGAAACUGAACACAACGUACUGAUUAAAAAAUGUGUGACAGAUGUAUCUCCAGAACGACUAAAUCUCGAUGUUUGGCAUAGAUGUAGAACAGAAUCUGGAAAGGCUGUAAAUGGCUAUAUACGUAUAUAAACAUCUGGUAAUGUUUAUUUUUGAAUUCCUUAAAAAAUGUAAGCGCACAAACUGUACCAUAUUUAUAUAAUGUACUUAAUU
Molecule: long non-coding RNA, 771 nt
Organism: Papilio xuthus (Asian swallowtail)
Lineage: Eukaryota; Metazoa; Arthropoda; Insecta; Lepidoptera; Papilionidae
Exons: 3
Source: RefSeq, a predicted model, not a curated record